This is a long non-coding RNA of Cyprinus carpio (common carp), 863 nucleotides long. RefSeq lists it as uncharacterized. NCBI's taxonomy places the organism in Eukaryota, Metazoa, Chordata, Actinopteri, Cypriniformes, Cyprinidae. The record is from RefSeq and is a predicted model, not a curated record. The transcript is spliced from 3 exons.
GAAUUACGAACUACAGUGGUUUCCGGCGACAACUUUCAGCGCGCGUACAUGCAGAUAAAUCGGAAGUACGCCACAAAUUUCGAAGAAAAAAAGUUAUAGGGGGUUGGAACGACAUGAGGAUGCCUUCCUUUAAUGCAGAGCCAUUGUUUAACUUUCCAACACAUGAGGAAACGAAGCAGAUGGAGCUUUCAAAAGAAUUAAUAUUUUGAAAAUAAUAGGGACACCUAUUUACAUUUAUGUUCACUCCCAGUUUGCCAUGUCAGCAGGUCUGUGUCUCAUCAGACUCACACCACAGCUAAUCUAAUAAAAAAUGGCAUUUCACCUAGCAGUUUUAUUGCACUCAUUAAACAUGAAUAUUAUCUUCUCCACUGAUAUUUUCACUGCAUACAGUGCUGGCAUUAAAUACAGAGAUGGGUAAUUAAUUUCUAAUUGCCACAUUGCAUAAAUGUGUUUUAUGGAAACGUUGUGCUCUUGAAAUUGUCCAGAUAUUUUAAGAGUUAAGCAAGUCAGGAUUUCACAAUGUUUGUUUCUUUUCCUGGGGUGUAAGAACAAGUCAGUGACAUAUUUCUCUCAUAUUUUACAGAAGAUAACACUUCUGAAUUAUUAAGGGAUUUAUCAUUUGUUUGUCUUUUUGCGAAUACAUGGUUUAAGACGCUGAACAUCUAACCUCAGCGUUUCGAAGUCCUGUGUGGAGGAGUUCUGUCUGCCCACAAAAAUGGUAAAGUAAUCCAGCCCUCUUUCACAAUCCCAUCUCAAAGACACAAGGCCUUUGUUUCUCAGGAAAGACAAACCACAUUACUGUUUUGUGUAUUCAGCAUAUUGUAAUGCGUCAAGAAGUACAGAAGUGGAUCUAGAAAUACCUG